CCUACGGGAGGCAGCAGUAAGGAAUAUUGGUCAAUGGGCGCAAGCCUGAACCAGCCAUGCCGCGUGCAGGAAGACGGCCCUAUGGGUUGUAAACUGCUUUUGAACAAGAGAAAACCUCGGUACGUGUACCGAGCUGAUAGUAUUGUUAGAAUAAGCAUCGGCUAACUUCGUGCCAGCAGCCGCGGUAAGACGAAGGAUGCAAGCGUUAUCCGGAUUCAUUGGGUUUAAAGGGUGCGUAGGCGGCCUGAUAAGUCAGUGGUGAAAUCUCUCAGCUUAACUGAGAAACUGCCAUUGAUACUGUCGGGCUUGAGUACAGAUGAUGUGGGCGGAAUAUGACAUGCAGUGGUGAAAUACUUAGAUAUGUCAUAGAACACCGAUUGCGAAGGCAGCUCACAAAACUGUAACUGACGCUGAGGCACGAAAGUGCGGGGAUCAAACAGGAUUAGAUACCCUGGUAGUCCGCACCGUAAACGAUGAUUACUCGUUGUUGGNAUAUAGACGUCGAGCGACCGACGACGAAGACGAGUUAAGUUAAGUACGUUACCGUUACGGGUAGGUUACGGCCGGCCGGACGGGUUACGGAACGUUACGAACGGAAGUUAGACGGACGNGAGGACGAGCGACGGACGACGACGAGGAGGUAGG
RNAcentral lists this ribosomal RNA (645 nucleotides) under uncultured bacterium. RNAcentral's name for it is "bacterial SSU rRNA". The stretch from base 1 to 545 matches the Rfam family "Bacterial small subunit ribosomal RNA", at positions 338 to 873 of the family's 1533-position model. The record is from RNAcentral.